RNAcentral lists this long non-coding RNA (322 nucleotides) under Helianthus annuus (common sunflower). RNAcentral's name for it is "hypothetical non coding rna". Lineage: Eukaryota; Viridiplantae; Streptophyta; Magnoliopsida; Asterales; Asteraceae. The record is from RNAcentral.
GUUUGCUAUUAUUCACCGAUCUCACAUCACUUUGACGUGUAGUUAUGAGGAUUUUAUGUUUGUUGCUUGUUUUGUUGGUUAUAAAUAUUAGGUUUGGUGUUAUUCACCGAUCUCACAUCACAAACGGGUCUGGCUAAUCAUUUAGGAGCAGACUGUAGCAUGUUGAUUGUUCAUAGCGUUUCAAGGGAGCAAUUGAGAAAGGCUGGUUUAUCUCAAACGUCUCGAUGAAACCCGCGAUUGGUGGUGUGUGAGGUCGUUAGGUACAUCAGUGCACAGAAACUUGCAGUCUGAGGAGCUUGAAGUGUCAUGUUGUGUGUUGUUU